UUUGUAACGUAAGAUCCCUGAAAGAUGAUCAGGUUGAUAGGUCAGAGGUGGAAGCGCGGUGACGUGUGGAGCUGACUGAUACUAAUCGAUCGAGGACUUAACCUAA
This 106-nucleotide ribosomal RNA is filed under the name Bacillus sp. SA1-12. RNAcentral describes it as "partial 23S ribosomal RNA". It matches the Rfam family "Bacterial large subunit ribosomal RNA", at positions 2820 to 2925 of the family's 2925-position model. The record is from RNAcentral. Lineage: Bacteria; Bacillati; Bacillota; Bacilli; Caryophanales; Bacillaceae.